RNAcentral lists this ribosomal RNA (469 nucleotides) under uncultured bacterium. Its description in RNAcentral is "bacterial SSU rRNA". It matches the Rfam family "Bacterial small subunit ribosomal RNA", at positions 30 to 492 of the family's 1533-position model. The record is from RNAcentral.
AUUGAACGCUGGCGGCAUGCCUUACACAUGCAAGUCGAACGGCAGCACGGGAGCAAUCCUGGUGGCGAGUGGCGAACGGGUGAGUAAUAUAUCGGAACGUGCCCAGUCGUGGGGAUAACGUAGAGAAAUUUACGCUAAUACCGCAUACGAUCUAAGGAUGAGAGCGGGGGAUUCGCAAGAACCUCGCGCGAUUGGAGCGGCUGAUAUCAGAUUAGGUUGUUGGUGAGGUAAAAGCUCACCAAGCCGACGAUCUGUAGCUGGUUUGAGAGAACGACCAGCCACACUGGGACUGAGACACGGCCCAGACUCCUACGGGAGGCAGCAGUGGGGAAUUUUGGACAAUGGGCGCAAGCCUGAUCCAGCAAUGCCGCGUGCAGGAUGAAGGCCUUCGGUUGUAACUAGCUUUGUUACGGAACGAACGGUGAGCUCUAAUACAGUUUGCUAAUAGACGGUACCGUAAGAAUAAGAC